RNAcentral lists this ribosomal RNA (738 nucleotides) under Triticum aestivum (bread wheat). RNAcentral's name for it is "partial small subunit ribosomal RNA". Lineage: Eukaryota; Viridiplantae; Streptophyta; Magnoliopsida; Poales; Poaceae. The record is from RNAcentral.
AUGAAUAGUGGAGAGGAAACGAGCGGGCAGCCUGGGCAGCGAGCGAACGGACAAAAGGGAGCGAACGGAGCGGGCAGCGUUGGGGCAGCGAGCGAACGAAUGGAAAAGCAGCCAGACCUAGCCCGCGCCCCCGCAGCCGCCUCCUCUCCUUCUGCCUCCGCCUCCACCACCUCCUGCCUCUCCUCCUCCUGCGUAUCCUCGUCUCCUCCCUCUGCCUCUGUAAUCAACAGAAGGAGCCGGGUCGCUGCCCUCCUCCCCCACUUUCCACUCCCACCCUCCCCGCACAGCCGCUGCCUCUCCCUGCUCUCCCCAUCUCGCAGGAGCCGCCGCCUCUUCCCAUUUCCCCAUCUGGCAGCGAAGAAGAGGAUCGAUCAUGGGAGAGGGUGGGAGAUUGAGGAGAGAGAGAAACGAUGCAGAGGACAGGGGAUACAAGGUGGACGGAGGUUAGGCGUCGUCACCGGAGACGUGGAUCUGCGGUGCAGUGGGAGAGGUGACGCCGGCUGGUCGGCUACUCACCAGCGGCUGCUGUUUGGCGUUUUCCUAUUGGUGUGGCUUCAAGAUUGCUGCUCAUGUGCCUGGUCAUAUCAAAAGGGCAAAAUGAACUUGUGGCAAGGAUAUGCUUCUGUUAAGUUAAAGGGGUCAGGCCGAGCAGGAAUUCAAGGCGGAGGUGGAAGCCAUCAGCAGAGUGAGGCACAAGCACCUCGCCGGCCUCAUCGACUACUGCGCAGAAGGGCCUAA